UUGGGUUGGCCAAAAAGUUUGUUUGAGUUUUUCUGUAGUAGCUUACAAUCCAAACAAACGUUUUAGCCAACUCAGU
Molecule: microRNA precursor, 76 nt
Filed under: Ovis aries (sheep)
Lineage: Eukaryota; Metazoa; Chordata; Mammalia; Artiodactyla; Bovidae
Description: miRNA (ENSOARG00000022916.1)
Source: RNAcentral